This is a long non-coding RNA of Oncorhynchus keta (chum salmon), 2215 nucleotides long. RefSeq lists it as uncharacterized. The transcript has 6 exons. Lineage: Eukaryota; Metazoa; Chordata; Actinopteri; Salmoniformes; Salmonidae. The record is from RefSeq and is a predicted model, not a curated record.
UUGCUCUGGGGCUGUUGCUAUAGGUCUGUUGCUCUAGGUCUAGGUAUGUUGCUCUAGGUCUGUUGCUAUAGGUCUGUUGCUCUAGGUCUAGGUCUGUUGCUCUAGGUAUGUUGCUCUAGGUCUGUUGCUAUAGGUCUGUUGCUCUAGGUCUAGGUCUGUUGCUCUAGGUCUAGGUCUGUUGCUCUAGGUCUGUUGCUCUAGGUCUGUUGCUCUAGGUCUGUUGUUCUAGGUCGGUUGCUCUAGGUCUGUUGCUCUGGGUCUGUUGCUCUAGGUCUGUUGCUCUGGGUCUGUUGGUCUGGGUCUGUUGCUCUAGGUCUGUUGCUCUGGGUCUGUUGCUCUGGGUCUGUUGCUCUGGGUCUGUUGCUCUAGGUCUGUUGCUCUGGGUCUAGGUCUGUUGCUCUAGGUCUGUUGUUCUAGGUCUGUUGCUCUAAGUCUGUUGUUCUGGGUCUGUUGUUCUGGGUCUGCUGGUCUGGGGCUGUUGCUCUGGGGCUGUUGCUAUAGGUAUGUUGUUAUAGGUAUGUUGCUCUAGGUCUGUUGCUCUAGGUCUGUUGCUCUGGGGCUGUUGCUCUAGGUCUAGGUCUGUUGCUCUAGGUCUGUUGUUCUAGGUCUGUUGCUCUAGGUCUGUUGUUCUAGGUCUGUUGCUCUAGGUCUGCUGGUCUGGGUCUGUUGCUCUGUCUGUUGCUCUAGGUCUGUUGCUCUGGGUCUGUUGCUCUAGGUCUGUUGCUCUGGGUAUGUUGCUCUAGGUCUGUUGCUCUAGGUCUGUUGCUCUGGGUAUGUUGCUCUAGGUCUAGGUCUGUUGCUCUGGGUCUGUUGCUCUGGGUCUGUUGCUCUGGGCCUGUCGCUCUAGGUCUGUUGCUCUAGGUCUGUUGUUAUAGGUAUGUUGCUCUAGGUAUGUUGCUCUAGGUCUGUUGCUCUAGGUCUGUUGCUCUAGGUCUAGGUCUGUUGCUCUGGGUCUGUUGCUAUAGAUAUGUUGCUCUGGGUCUGGUGCUCUAUGUCUAGGUCUGUUUCAAAAGGUCUGUUGCUCUGGGUCUAGGUCUGUUGUUCUAGGUCUGUUGCUCUAGGUCUAGGUCUGUUGCUCUGGGUCAUUUGCUAUAGAUAUGUUGCUCUGGGUAUGUUGCUCUAGGUCUAGGUCUGUUGCUCUGGGUCUGUUGCUCUGGGUCUGUUGCUCUAGGUCUGUUGUUAUAGGUAUGUUGCUCUAGGUAUGUUGCUCUAGGUCUGUUGCUCUAGGUCUAGGUAUGUUGCUCUAGGUAUGUUGCUCUGGGGCUGUUGCUCUGGGGCUGUUGCUACAGGUCUGUUGCUCUAGGUCUAGGUCUGUUGCUCUAGGUCUGUUGUUCUAGGUCGGUUGCUCUAGGUCUGUUGCUCUGGGUCUGUUGCUCUAGGUCUGUUGUUCUGGGUCUGUUGCUCUGGGUCUGUUGCUCUGGGUCUGUUGCUCUGGGUCUGUUGCUCUGGGUCUGUUGCUCUGGGUCUGUUGCUCUGGGUCUGUUGCUCUAGGUCUGUUGCUCUGGGUCUGUUGCUCUAGGUCUGUUGCUCUAGGUCUGUUGCUCUAGGUCUGUUGCUCUAGGUCUAGGUCUGUUGCUCUAGGUCUGUUGCUCUAGGUCUAGGUCUGUUGCUCUAGGUCUGUUGCUCUAGGUCUGUUGCUCUAGGUAUAGGUAUGUUGCUCUAGGUCUGUUGCUCUAGGUCUAGGUCUGUUGCUCUAGGUCUGUUGCUCUAGGUCUAGGUCUGUUGCUCUAGGUCUGUUGCUCUAGGUCUGUUGCUCUAGGUCUGUUGCUCUAGGUCUGUUGCUCUAGGUAUGUUGCUCUAGGUCUGUUGCUCUGGGGCUGUUGCUAUAGGUCUGUUUCUCUAGGUCUAGGUCUGUUGCUCUAGGUCUAGGUCUGUUGUUCUAGGUCUGUUCUAGGUCGGUUGCUCUGGGUCUGUUGCUCUGGGUCUGUUGCUCUAGGUCUGUUGCUCUGGGUCUGUUGCUCUGGGUCUGUUGCUCUAGGUCUAGGUCUGUUGCUCUGGGUCUGUUGCUCUAGGUCUGUUGCUCUGGGUCUGUUGCUCUAGGUCUGUUGCUCUGGGUCUGUUGCUCUGGGUCUGUUGCUCUGGGUCUGUUGCUCUGGGUCUGUUGCUCUGGGUCUGUUGCUCUAGGUCUGUUGCUCUGGGUAUGUUGCUCUAGGUCUGUUGCUCUAGGUCUGUUGCUCUAGGUCUAGGUCUGUUGCUCUAGGUCUGUUGCUCUAGG